This 124-nucleotide small nuclear RNA is filed under the name Solanum tuberosum (potato). RNAcentral's name for it is "U5 spliceosomal RNA". It matches the Rfam family "U5 spliceosomal RNA". Rfam says of the family: U5 RNA is a component of both types of known spliceosome. The precise function of this molecule is unknown, though it is known that the 5' loop is required for splice site selection and p220 binding, and that both the 3' stem-loop and the Sm site are important for Sm protein binding and cap methylation. The record is from Rfam by way of RNAcentral. Lineage: Eukaryota; Viridiplantae; Streptophyta; Magnoliopsida; Solanales; Solanaceae.
GGUGCCCGGGGGAAUAAAAGAAAUAUAGCGAACUAUUCUUUUGCGUUUUACUAAAGAAUAUUGUAUGCUCGCUGCAAUUAGGUACAUACGUCAAUUUAUGGAGGGGUUCUCUUCAUUGAGUGCC